AGAGUUUGAUCCUGGCUCAGAGCGAACGCUGGCGGCAUGCUUAACACAUGCAAGUCUCACGGGCAGCAAUGUCAGUGGCGGACGGGUGAGUAACGCGUAGGUAUCUAUCUCUGGGUGGGGGACAACUGUGGGAAACUACAGCUAAUACCGCAUGAUAACUGAGGUUUAAAGGCGCAAGUCGCCUGGAGAGGAGCCUGCGUACGAUUAGCUAGUUGGUGGGGUAAAGGCCUACCAAGGCGACGAUCGUUAGCUGGUCUGAGAGGAUGAUCAGCCACAUUGGGACUGAGACACGGCCCAAACUCCUACGGGAGGCAGCAGUGGGGAAUAUUGGACAAUGGGCGCAAGCCUGAUCCAGCAAUGCCGCGUGUGUGAAGAAGGUCUUCGGAUUGUAAA
Molecule: ribosomal RNA, 393 nt
Filed under: uncultured bacterium
Lineage: Bacteria
Description: bacterial SSU rRNA
Rfam family: Bacterial small subunit ribosomal RNA
Source: RNAcentral